RNAcentral lists this ribosomal RNA (904 nucleotides) under uncultured bacterium. Its description in RNAcentral is "bacterial SSU rRNA". It matches the Rfam family "Bacterial small subunit ribosomal RNA", at positions 1 to 901 of the family's 1533-position model. The record is from RNAcentral. RNAcentral also lists the same sequence under 1 other name.
UCCUGACUUUGAUUAUGGCUCAGGAUGAACGCUAAUUACGGGCUUAACACAUGCAAGUCGAGGGGCAGCAUGGUCUUAGCUUGCUAAGGCCGAUGGCGACCGGCGCACGGGUGAGUAACACGUAUCCAACCUGCCGUCUACUCUUGGACAGCCUUCUGAAAGGAAGAUUAAUACAAGAUGGCAUCAUGAGUCCGCAUGUUCACAUGAUUAAAGGUAUUCCGGUAGACGAUGGGGAUGCGUUCCAUUAGAUAGUAGGCGGGGUAACGGCCCACCUAGUCUUCGAUGGAUAGGGGUUCUGAGAGGAAGGUCCCCCACAUUGGAACUGAGACACGGUCCAAACUCCUACGGGAGGCAGCAGUGAGGAAUAUUGGUCAAUGGGCGAGAGCCUGAACCAGCCAAGUAGCGUGAAGGAUGACUGCCCUAUGGGUUGUAAACUUCUUUUAUAAAGGAAUAAAGUCGGGUAUGCAUACCCGUUUGCAUGUACUUUAUGAAUAAGGAUCGGCUAACUCCGUGCCAGCAGCCGCGGUAAUACGGAGGAUUCGAGCGUUAUCCGGAUUUAUUGGGUUUAAAGGGAGCGUAGAUGGAUGUUUAAGUCAGUUGUGAAAGUUUGCGGCUCAACCGUAAAAUUGCAGUUGAUACUGGAUAUCUUGAGUGCAGUUGAGGCAGGCGGAAUUCGUGGUGUAGCGGUGAAAUGCUUAGAUAUCACGAAGAACUCCGAUUGCGAAGGCAGCCUGCUAAGCUGCAACUGACAUUGAGGCUCGAAAGUGUGGGUAUCAAACAGGAUUAGAUACCCUGGUAGUCCACACGGUAAACGAUGAAUACUCGCUGUUUGCGAUAUACAACAAGCGGCCAAGCGAAAGCGUUAAGUAUUCCACCUGGGGAGUACGCCGGCAACGGUGCAACU